AGGACAUCGACGGUAUAUGAACACAUAAUGCAGAAUAACAACUCCAUUACUGCACAUUCAUUGGCAGCAUUUUAACACAUACCAUAUAAUCAAAACUGGUGGAACAUUAUCAAACAAAAUAUUUCGCAAAUUUAGAUAACUUAAUUGACCAUGAGACACACAUCCAAUGAAAGUAUGAUGAUUUAUAAUCCACAAGUGAUCACCACACCUGCAUCUUCUUCAUUG
This 225-nucleotide long non-coding RNA is filed under the name Daucus carota (carrot). RNAcentral describes it as "long non-coding RNA (DCAR_LNC003471)". Lineage: Eukaryota; Viridiplantae; Streptophyta; Magnoliopsida; Apiales; Apiaceae. The record is from RNAcentral.